UACGAGAGGUGCAAGCGUUAUUCGGAAUCAUUGGGCGUAAAGGGUGCGUAGACGGCAUUGUAAGUCUGUUGUUAAAAUUCUUGGCCUAACCAAGAGUCUGCAACGGAUACUGCUUUGCUAGAGGGUGAGAGAGAGAAGUGGAAUUCUCGGAGUAGCGGUCAAAUGCGUAGAUCUCGAGAGGAACACCGAUGGCGAAGGCAGCUUCUUGGCUCAUUUCUGACGUUGAGGCACGAAAGCGUGGGGAGCAAACAGG
RNAcentral lists this ribosomal RNA (253 nucleotides) under uncultured bacterium. RNAcentral's name for it is "partial 16S ribosomal RNA". It matches the Rfam family "Bacterial small subunit ribosomal RNA", at positions 524 to 776 of the family's 1533-position model. The record is from RNAcentral.